AGGGAAUCUUCCGCAAUGGACGAAAGUCUGACGGAGCAACGCCGCGUGAGUGAUGAAGGUUUUCGGAUCGUAAAGCUCUGUUGCCAGGGAAGAACGUCCGUUAGAGUAACUGCUAACGGAGUGACGGUACCUGAGAAGAAAGCCCCGGCUAACUACGUGCCAGCAGCCGCGGUAAUACGUAGGGGGCGAGCGUUGUCCGGAAUUAUUGGGCGUAAAGCGCGCGCAGGCGGCUGUUAAGUCGGGUGGUGAAUCCUGGGGCUCAACCCCGGGUCGCACUGGAAACUGGACAGCUGGAGUGCAGAAGAGGAGAGUGGAAUUCCACGUGUAGCGGUGAAAUGCGUAGAGAUGUGGAGGAACACCAGUGGCGAAGGCGACUCUCUGGGCUGUAACUGACGCUGAGGCGCGAAAGCGUGGGGAGCAAAC
This 423-nucleotide ribosomal RNA is filed under the name uncultured bacterium. RNAcentral's name for it is "bacterial SSU rRNA". It matches the Rfam family "Bacterial small subunit ribosomal RNA", at positions 356 to 773 of the family's 1533-position model. The record is from RNAcentral.